RNAcentral lists this ribosomal RNA (429 nucleotides) under Bacteroidota bacterium. RNAcentral's name for it is "Bacteroidetes bacterium partial 16S ribosomal RNA". It matches the Rfam family "Bacterial small subunit ribosomal RNA", at positions 355 to 776 of the family's 1533-position model. The record is from RNAcentral. Lineage: Bacteria; Pseudomonadati; Bacteroidota.
UAGGGAAUCUUCGGCAAUGGGGGGAACCCUGACCGAGCAACGCCGCGUGAGUGAAGAAGGUUUUCGGAUCGUAAAGCUCUGUUGUUAAGGAAGAACGAGUGUGAGAAUGGAAAGUUCAUGCUGUGACGGUACUUAACCAGAAAGGGACGGCUAACUACGUGCCAGCAGCCGCGGUAAUACGUAGGUCCCGAGCGUUGUCCGGAUUUAUUGGGCGUAAAGCGAGCGCAGGCGGUUAGAAAAGUCUGAAGUGAAAGGCAGUGGCUCAACCAUUGUAGGCUUUGGAAACUGUUUAACUUGAGUGCAGAAGGGGAGUGUGGAAUUCCAUGUGUAGCGGUGAAAUGCGUAGAUAUAUGGAGGAACACCGGUGGCGAAAGCGGCUCUCUGGUCUGUAACUGACGCUGAGGCUCGAAAGCGUGGGGAGCGAACAGG